CCUACGUGAGGCAGCAGUGGGGAAUAUUGGGCAAUGGGCGAAAGCCUGACCCAGCAAUGCCGCGUGAAUGAAGAAGGUCUUAGGAUUGUAAAAUUCUGUCCUAUGGGAAGAAAAAAAUGACGGUACCAUAGGAGGAAGCCCCGGCUAACUACGUGCCAACAGCCGCGGUAAUACGUAGGGGGCGAGCGUUGUCCGGAAUUACUGGGCGUAAAGGGAGUGUAGGCGGAUAUGUAAGAUAGCGGUGAAAUGCCGGGGCUCAACCCCGGAACUGCCAUUAUGACUAUGUAUCUAGAGUAAUGGAGAGGAUAGCGGAAUACCCAGUGUAGAGGUGAAAUUCGUAGAUAUUGGGUAGAACACCGGUGGCGAAGGCGGCUAUCUGGCCAUUUACUGACGCUGAGGCUCGAAAGCAUGGGGAUCAAACAGGAUUAGAUACCCCUGUAGUC
Molecule: ribosomal RNA, 443 nt
Filed under: uncultured bacterium
Lineage: Bacteria
Description: partial 16S ribosomal RNA
Rfam family: Bacterial small subunit ribosomal RNA
Source: RNAcentral